AUUGAACGCUGGCGGCAGGCCUAACACAUGCAAGUCGAACGGUAACAGGAAGAAGCUUGCUUCUUUGCUGACGAGUGGCGGACGGGUGAGUAAUGUCUGGGAAACUGCCUGAUGGAGGGGGAUAACUACUGGAAACGGUAGCUAAUACCGCAUAACGUCGCAAGACCAAAGAGGGGGACCUUCGGGCCUCUUGCCAUCGGAUGUGCCCAGAUGGGAUUAGCCAGUAGGUGGGGUAACGGCUCACCUAGGCGACGAUCCCUAGCUGGUCUGAGAGGAUGACCAGCCACACUGGAACUGAGACACGGUCCAGACUCCUACGGGAGACAGCAGUGGGGAAUAUUGCACAAUGGGCGCAAGCCUGAUGCAGCCAUGCCGCGUGUAUGAAGAAGGCCUUCGGGUUGUAAAGUACUUUCAGCGGGGAGGAAGGGAGUAAAGUUAAUACCUUUGCUCAUUGACGUUACCCGCAGAAGAAGCACCGGCUAACUCCGUG
This 490-nucleotide ribosomal RNA is filed under the name uncultured bacterium. RNAcentral's name for it is "partial 16S ribosomal RNA". It matches the Rfam family "Bacterial small subunit ribosomal RNA", at positions 30 to 507 of the family's 1533-position model. The record is from RNAcentral.